GGUCAAGCUAAUAAGAGCAUAGGGUGAAUGCCUAGGCACCAGAAGGCGAUGAAGGACGCGAUAAGCUGCGAAAAGCUGCGGUAAGGCGCAAAUAGCCACCGACCCGCAGAUGU
Molecule: ribosomal RNA, 113 nt
Filed under: uncultured Bacillota bacterium
Lineage: Bacteria; Bacillati; Bacillota
Description: uncultured Firmicutes bacterium partial 23S ribosomal RNA
Rfam family: Bacterial large subunit ribosomal RNA
Source: RNAcentral